GACGAACGCUGGCGGCGUGGAUUAGGCAUGCAAGUCGGACGGUAGGGCUUUAUCGUAAGAUAGAGUUUGAGAGUGGCGAACGGGUGAGUAACACGUAGGAAUCUACCCUUAAGACGGGGACAACCCAGGGAAACUUGGGCUAAUACCGGAUGAGAGUGCGAGAGAUUGCAUUUAAAAGGAUGGCGAAAGUUGUCGCUUAGGGAUGAGCCUGCGGUCUAUUAGCUAGUUGGCGGGGUAAUGGCCCACCAAGGCGACGAUCGAUAGCUGGUCUGAGAGGAUGAUCAGCCACACUGGAACUGAGACACGGUCCAGACUCCUACGGGAGGCAGGCAGUAGGGAAUAUUGGACAAUGGGCGCAAGCCUGAUCCAGCCAUGCCGCGUGAGUGAAGAAGGCCCUCGGGUUGUAAAGCUCUUUUGUUGGGGAAGAAAGCAGUUGGUUAAUACCGAUUGUUCUGACGGUACCAAAGAUAAGCACCGGCUAACUUCGUGCCAGCAGCCGCGGUAA
RNAcentral lists this ribosomal RNA (505 nucleotides) under uncultured bacterium. Its description in RNAcentral is "bacterial SSU rRNA". It matches the Rfam family "Bacterial small subunit ribosomal RNA", at positions 28 to 523 of the family's 1533-position model. The record is from RNAcentral.